CCUACGGGUGGCAGCAGUGAGGAAUAUUGGUCAAUGGACGAGAGUCUGAACCAGCCAAGUAGCGUGAAGGAUGACUGCCCUAUGGGUUGUAAACUUCUUUUAUAUGGGAAUAAAAUGUUCCACGUGUGGGAUUUUGUAUGUACCAUAUGAAUAAGGCUCGGCUAACUCCGUGCCAGCAGCCGCGGUAAUACGGAGGAUCCGAGCGUUAUCCGGAUUUAUUGGGUUUAAAGGGAGCGUAGGUGGAUUGUUAAGUCAGUUGUGAAAGUUUGCGGCUCAACCGUAAAAGUGCAGUUGAAACUGGCAGUCUUGAGUACAGUAGAGGUGGGCGGAAUUCGUGGUGUAGCGGUGAAAUGCUUAGAUAUCACGAAGAACUCCGAUUGCGAAGGCAGUUCACUGGACUGCAACUGACACUGAGGCUCGAAAGUGUGGGUAUCAAACAGGAUUAGAUACCCUAGUAGUC
RNAcentral lists this ribosomal RNA (460 nucleotides) under uncultured bacterium. RNAcentral describes it as "partial 16S ribosomal RNA". It matches the Rfam family "Bacterial small subunit ribosomal RNA", at positions 338 to 795 of the family's 1533-position model. The record is from RNAcentral.